This 216-nucleotide ribosomal RNA is filed under the name Glomeromycotina sp. RNAcentral describes it as "partial small subunit ribosomal RNA". The stretch from base 40 to 216 matches the Rfam family "Eukaryotic small subunit ribosomal RNA", at positions 686 to 864 of the family's 1831-position model. The record is from RNAcentral. Lineage: Eukaryota; Fungi; Glomeromycota.
GGGUCAGUAGGUUGGUCGUGCCACCGGUACGUACUGGUCUCACUGAUUCCUCCUUCCUGAAGAACCUUAAUGCCAUUAAUUUGGUGUUGCGGGGAGACAGGACUGUUACUUUGAAAAAAUUAGAGUGUUUAAAGCAAGCUAACGCUUGAAUACAUUAGCAUGGAAUAAUGAAAUAGGACGAUCGAUCCUAUUUUGUUGGUUUCUAGGAUUGACGUA